Apus apus (common swift) is the source of this 2862-nucleotide long non-coding RNA. RefSeq lists it as uncharacterized. The transcript has 2 exons. Lineage: Eukaryota; Metazoa; Chordata; Aves; Apodiformes; Apodidae. The record is from RefSeq and is a predicted model, not a curated record.
UAAGGGCAGCGGUACCGGCAGCGGUACCGGCGGCUGGGCCUGCCGGCGGCUCGGGGUUGCCCCCUGCGGGAGGUGGCGUGUGGCCGCAGCGCCGCGGCAGCGCCGCUGCCGCUCCGGGCUUGCUCUCUGCGGCGAGUCGGCGGCGCCGUAGGUAGCAGAAGCCGCGGUGUUCUUUCUGGGAAACAUCGCGUCCGAGCGCUGGGCCGCGUCAUCGGUGUGGGGACCUCGUGAGACCGGGCAUGGCUGCGGGGAGGAGGAAGGAAACAUACACACAUGGUUUCACACACUAUGACAACUAAGAACAUCAAGCCUUCUCCCCUCAGGAAGAAUGAAGCCAGCUUCAUCCCUUCUCUCUCAAGCAUGAAUAAAAAUCUGCUGAUCUUACUGGAACAUCUUUAGAGCUCUACAGCUAGUCCUUUCACACCUCAGAGAGCCUAUCCAGCCUCCCUAAAAAUGCUGCAAUGGAAGUUUAUGUUCCAUCCAAUAGUCAAAUAACCACUGGCAAGUUAUUGUGUUGUACCAUGGCUAGCUUUUCAUGUACUCCUUCUGGAUAGAGGCAGAAACUAAAAUCAGCCUGAAAGAUAGCAGCAUGAGUGCUGUGCUUACUGUUUAGGUUUUUCUUUUUAUUAUCUAAAAUUUGCAUUUAAUAAGACUGGAAGGCAAUCAGGUCCUUAAAGUGAAAUCACAAUUCCCAGUAAAUACAGAAAAAAGAACAAGGCAGUGGAAGAUGAUGCCAGGUCCUGCACUUGAGUUAACAACAACCCCAUGCAACACUACAGGCUGGAUGGAGUGGCUGGAAAGCUGCCCAAAGGACCUGUGGGUGUUGGUCAAUAACUGGCUAAAUUUGAGCCAGCAGUGUGCCCAGGUGGCCAAGAAGGCCAACAGCAUCCUGGCUUGUAUUAGGAAUAGUGUGGCCAGCGGGAGUAGGGAAGAGAUCAUGCCCCUGUAGUCAGCACUGGUGAGACUGCACCUCAAGUACUGUCUUCAGUUCUGGGCCCCUUACUCCAGGAAGGACAUUGAAAUGAUUGAGCAUCUCCAGAGAAGGGCAACAAAGCUGGUGAAGGGUCUGGAGCACAAGUCUUAUUCGGAGCAUCUGAAGGAACUGGGGCUGUUUAGCUUGGAGAAAAGGAGGCUGAGAGGAGACCUUAUUGCUCUCUACAACUACCUGAAAGGACAUUGUAGUGGGGUGAUGGCUGGUCUCUUUUCCUGAGUUACAACUGAUAGAACAAGAGGAAAUGGCCUCAAGUUAUGCCAGGGGAGGUUUAGAUGGGCUAUCAGAAAAGAUUACUUCACCAAAAGGAUUGUCAGCAUUGGAACAGGCUGCCCAGGGAAGUGGUUGAGUCACCAUCCCUGGAGGUAUUAAAAGAUGUGUAGAUGUGGUGCUUAGAGACAUGGUUUAGUGUUGGGCUUGGCAGUGUGCUAGGUUUAUGGUUGGACUCAAUGAUCUGAAAGGUCUUUUCUAAUCUGAAUGAUUUUAUGAUUCUACUAUUCUAAAAUGGAUGAAAAUCACUAAUUUCAGUACUGAAAAAUCACAAUAAAAACAAAAUUCUCAAGUCUCUAGGGUCGCACCAUGUAAAUAACCAGGCAGUUUUAAAAAUUAUGAGAGACACUGAUGAAAUUGUGAAAAAGUUCAGAUUCAACCAGCACUUUCUGUUGUCCAUGAAAAUAAUUAGGACUAGUAAAAUGGAGGCCAAUUAAAGGAAUAGCACUGGUUCAGGGAUCAUUGAUUGCAUUUUGUGUAAGGAGAUAUAAAGAGGAACAUUGUUUUAAAAUGCCAGUGCAAAGGUAGGAAGAACAUUGCAUCCACAAGAAGAAAUGCUACCCAUUUUCUCAGCAAGAGUUCAGAAAAAAAAAAAGAGGAAGCAGGUUUUUUUCUCUGCCCUGAAGAGUUUUGUUGUUUUUUUGUUGUGGGGCUUUUGGUUGUGGGUUGGUGGUUUUUUUCUUUGUUUUGUUUUGUUUUUUUAAUCAGGAGUAUUCAUUAAUUAUCAGAAAACCCGUGAUUCAUUAAAGGAAGGGAUAUCUGAAAGACCGUAACAUCAAAAUCCCAAAGGCCUUUAAAAGUCACAGAUUAUGAUACUAAGCAACCCAUUUUAAACUAUUUCAGUAAAGAUGAGGAAAAAAUUAAAUAGCAAAGGAAAUAAAUAUGCCAAACAAUGUCAGCAAAACAGCUGACACGUGUAAUAGAAAAUGUUCAAAUGCCAAGCAGAAGCCCAGAAAAUGUAAUAUGAGCCCAACUAGUUCACAAAGUUGUACACACAAGGCAGGAAAGUUUGUGGGUUAAAGAUAGAAUGACAGGGAAUAAACUCCUCCUAAUCAGGAUAAAGGAAGAAAGUGCUAUUUCUGACAAUACCUAAUAAAAACAGGCACAAAUGGUUAAUAUUCUAAUGUAUAAAAGAGACAGAGCACCAUCAGGGACAGUGAAAGCAGAAAUAGAGAUAACUGAAAUAAAAUUAUUUACACCCUCCCUGACCUAUCGUUCUCCUAUCAUUAAGUCUAUAAGCUUUUCAGUUUAUCAGCUACAUUUUUAUGAGUUUAUGACAUCCCAUGCCCAUAUUUUAUGCCUCUUCUGUGCUAUAUUUGACUCAACCUGAGUUGCACCUACAUUUCAGUGUGCAAGGAUAUUCCAGAAAUUUAUUCUUCAGUGAUUAAAAUAUUCUGUCUUCUGUUUAAAAUUUGGUUGGACUAAUUUAUAGCCAUUUAUUUUUUGUCAAAUGCUACUGUUAAAGCACCAGCAUUAUAAUUCAGUUUUAAAGAUUUAUUUUUAGGAAGUCUCUGAAAUUUAUUUUUGGCUGAAUGUUUCUCAUGGGAGAGAGUCAGAUGUUGUCCAUGGAUAUCCCAUAAUAAAUAAUGCAAAUAUCUGCA